Dromaius novaehollandiae (emu) is the source of this 362-nucleotide long non-coding RNA. RefSeq lists it as uncharacterized. Lineage: Eukaryota; Metazoa; Chordata; Aves; Casuariiformes; Dromaiidae. The transcript is spliced from 4 exons. The record is from RefSeq and is a predicted model, not a curated record.
AGGUGUUCCUGUAGGCAGUGGCCUCCCAGCUUCUCAUCCGGAUGCCAUUGUUGUGCCUCAGGGGCAUGCCAGGGAGCUUCCAAGCGUGUCACAGCCUGGAGAAGCCCCCCACGGCAGGAAAUACUCCUUUUUUCCAGUGCACCGAGGUCUUGGUGGUGGCAAAGAUGCCGAGGCUGCAGCUCCUAAAGGCCGACAAAAGCAGCGUUUGGUCCUGAGUGCCGCAGUCUUGGGUUCCGUACUGUUUGUCGUCCUGCUGAUGUGUAUAGUUACUUUCUGGCUGAGGAAGAGAAAGCAAGAAGCGGUACCAGCUAACCCUGCCGCUGCCUCCAACAGAGGGGAGUCAAGCACAGAGGAAGGCAGAG